CGGGUGUGUGUGUGUGUGUG
RNAcentral lists this microRNA (20 nucleotides) under Corchorus olitorius. RNAcentral's name for it is "mmu-miR-466i-". Lineage: Eukaryota; Viridiplantae; Streptophyta; Magnoliopsida; Malvales; Malvaceae. The record is from RNAcentral.